Long non-coding RNA from Symphalangus syndactylus (siamang), 1360 nucleotides. RefSeq lists it as uncharacterized. The record is from RefSeq and is a predicted model, not a curated record. Lineage: Eukaryota; Metazoa; Chordata; Mammalia; Primates; Hylobatidae.
ACAAUCAUGAGCCAUCGCAGCUGGCCUGUGGGUGAUUUUAUUUAUUCCUCGAGAUAGGUGCAUUUAUUAUCUCCAUUUACAUCUGAGGAAACUGAGGCACAAAGGGGCAAAAUAACAUUUCCAAGGCUGCUGACUGGUAAGUGGCCAGCAUUUGACUGAGGAGGUCUCUCUCUAGAAACCCUGCCCCUGCUGCCCCUUCUGUGUCUGAGUGUGGCAGUCAGAUCCCAGAGGGAAUCCCGCACCUGUAAAAUAAAAACAAUCAGCUGGCCCUGCUGACCUCGUUAGAGAGCGAAGCCCAGGCUAAAAAGGGAUGAGUACCUUGAGAAGGUUCGGCUCGGGUGUGGCCAUGCAGGAAACGCUCUUCCUUUCUUGCUUGCCUGUCAUAACCUGAAUAAUCUCUGCACCAGAUCUGUGUUUGUCUCUUCCCUGCUGUAGGUCGCUGUGGCCUUGCCCCUCAGAACAACAGAUCAAUGGGCUGCGGCCAGACAGCGCUCUGCGCUUUGAUGAAUUUUAAAGUGUUGGGGUGAUCACAAGAUGUCCGUCCGAGUUUCACCGUUAGAGAGCUGCUGAGCUGAGCUGAGGGUUGGCAGGGUAGAGUCCUAUGGGAGAAACACCGCUGGGAUCACAGAGAUUUCUGUGUAUCAGGAACCAACAAAUACUAAAGAUGGAGGUCUCGCCAUGUUGUCCAGGCUGGUAUUGAACUCCUGAGUUCAAGUGAUCCUCUUGCUUUGGCUUCCCAAAGUGCUGGGAUUACAGGAGGAACAGAGGCACAGAGAGACACCCAGAGAAGAUGGCCAUGCGACCUCAGAGGGGAGGCUGGAGCCAAGGACCCCCGGGAUUGCCGGCCACACCAGAGCUGGGCCAGGUGUGGGGCGAUCCUCCCUGCAGACUUCAGAGGGGGCGAGGCCCUGACACCCUCAUCUAGGACUUCCAGCCUCCAGAGCUGAGAGAGAAGGAAUGUCCACUGUUAAAGGUGCCCAGUCUGUGGGACGUCAUUCUGGUGGCCACAGGAGACUCAUACAGCGCUUGGAGGAGGGGGUCAGUGGACAGCCAGAAGAGCAGCAAGGCCAGCAGCUCCGGAGCUGCCACCUCCGCUGUGGUGUCACUUUGCUUAUUUUGGUGCUUGUGUGUCCUCACCUGUCUGCCCUGAGGGAGGGGAAGUGCAAAGCCCAGGGAUGGGGGGAGGUGAGUGAGGAUGCUGCAGCCCGCCCCCCCUUUCCUUCCGGCCACUCCCCAGCCCCAGCCCCAACCUAAAAAUACCUCCCCGGGCCUGCCUUGGUGUUCUGAGAAUGUCUGUACCCGUGUGGCAUGGUCAAGUCAUGUGGCCACAGGAGGGGAUGAGGAGGAAGUUUAGUGCACU